UAGCCUGUGCCAACUUUUGUGAAGAUACAUUGUCAAAUGUGAAAGUUUUCCAUACAAGAACUUGAUUCCGAUCGUUCAGUUUGUAUGGCAGCUAUAUGUGGUCCUAUAUCGGCAGUUCCGACAGCAGCUUCUUGAAGAGAAAAUGACGUUAGCAAAAUUUCAAACCGAUAUCUUAAAAACUGAGAGACUAGUUCGUAUAUAUACAGACAGACGGACGGACAGACAGACGGACAUGGCUUAAUCGACUCAGCUCGACAUACUGAUCAUUUAUAUACAUACAUAUAUACUUUAUAGGGUCUCCGACGAUUCCUUCUGGGUGUUACAAACUUCGUGACAAACUUAAUAUACCCUGUUCAGGGUAUAAUGAUAUGUAUUAAUUCAUUUGAAGAAAUAUCAUUUAAAACCAGUAAGGAAAAGGCUAAGUUCGGGUGUAAACGGAUAUUUCAUACUCUUGCAGUUUGCCAGGUCAAAUCCAAGGAAAUACCUUCAAGUACAUAAGGCACAAAGAUGCACCGUUAUCAGAAAAAUAACUCACACUCGAUAUAUGCGGUAUAAAGUCAACUGGAAGUUUUAAAAUAUGUGGGGGCUAAACAAAUUAUUGCUUCGAUUCAACCCUUUUUUUGCAUACAGGCAUAUUAUUAUUCGAAGAGGAUUCUCUCCGAAUUUCUAUAUGUACAUAUGUAUAUGUCUCACAGAUAUACUGAUAUUUUAAAUAAAAAGUUAACAACUGGACCUUUAAUCAAUGUA
Molecule: long non-coding RNA, 747 nt
Organism: Bactrocera neohumeralis
Lineage: Eukaryota; Metazoa; Arthropoda; Insecta; Diptera; Tephritidae
Exons: 2
Source: RefSeq, a predicted model, not a curated record